Salmo salar (Atlantic salmon) is the source of this 73-nucleotide non-coding RNA. The record is from Rfam. Lineage: Eukaryota; Metazoa; Chordata; Actinopteri; Salmoniformes; Salmonidae.
AUCCCUGUAGCUUAGUUGGUAGAGCAUGGUGUUUGCAACGCCAGGGUUGUGGGUUCGAUUCCCACGGGGGACC